This is a non-coding RNA of Prunus avium (sweet cherry), 305 nucleotides long. NCBI's taxonomy places the organism in Eukaryota, Viridiplantae, Streptophyta, Magnoliopsida, Rosales, Rosaceae. The record is from RefSeq and is a predicted model, not a curated record.
AUUCGCACACCCACUAUCUACUCUACCUCUCCCUCUCCCUCUCCUCAUCUAUCUGUCUCUGUCUCUGUCUCUCUGUAUGUGGCUACAUGGUCUCUAAGAAGAAGUAUGAUUGCUUUAAUCUAGGUUGGUUUGUCUCCUCUCUCCCUCUUCGUUCCAGUAACCCUCUCGCCCUUGGGGAUAGGAUGUGCUGUGAUUCUUUGGUGGUAUUAUUAUAUGAGGAGAGAGACUUGCAGAUUUGGCACUUCUUGUAAGUUUCGCCAUCCUAAACAUGUAAUUAAUUUUCUGCUCUCUGUUUAUAGAUGAAG